AUGGAGGUCCGGCCCGACCAAUGGAUGGAUGGGGAUGAAACCCUAGCCCAACACCCACCCAUGGAUGGAUGGGGAUGGGGCGGCGGCUGCGGCCUUCUCUCGGUGCUUGCUGGUGUGGUGGACAUCGACGUCGGCGUCGGCGUCGUCUACGGCUCUGUCAGGCUCGACAUCCUCAAGGUUAAUGGAUCAUCCUGGGAAUGGACUAUGGAAUGGCAAACUAACAGGGCACAUCGCACAACUGGGUAUUGUCAAUCUACUUACAGACCACUUGCGUUGGGCAAGAGGGUUCUGCUGUGGAGACCAAGAAAAAGGAUGGGAACAUUGGGGACGCCUCAGCUGCCAUCGAUGAACGCAACUCGGAACAGGCAAAGCUCCACGCGAGGCUCCCCUGGCUGCCGAGCAUCUCUGAGAAGCCCAAAAUGA
RNAcentral lists this ribosomal RNA (423 nucleotides) under Triticum aestivum (bread wheat). Its description in RNAcentral is "partial small subunit ribosomal RNA". Lineage: Eukaryota; Viridiplantae; Streptophyta; Magnoliopsida; Poales; Poaceae. The record is from RNAcentral.